Molecule: non-coding RNA, 104 nt
Organism: Octopus bimaculoides (California two-spot octopus)
Lineage: Eukaryota; Metazoa; Mollusca; Cephalopoda; Octopoda; Octopodidae
Source: Rfam
UUAUUGCCUCUGCAAUACAUAUACUAAAACUGGAACGACACAGAGAAGAUUAGCAUGGGACUUGCGCAAGGAUGACACAAAUUUGUGAAGCGUUCCAUAUUUUC